This 201-nucleotide ribosomal RNA is filed under the name Triticum aestivum (bread wheat). RNAcentral's name for it is "partial small subunit ribosomal RNA". The record is from RNAcentral. Lineage: Eukaryota; Viridiplantae; Streptophyta; Magnoliopsida; Poales; Poaceae.
AUGAAGGAAGAUGGAUCAGGAGGUGUGGGGAUUGUGACGGAUCCAUCAAGCAUCUGUGUCACUUUCAGCAUGGUUGGCCGCAUUGUUGGCUCCUCCUGGAGACACCAUAAUGCCACGGCCACGAAGCGUUCCACCUUCUUUAUAUUGAAGAUUGCCUCCUCAUCACCCUUGAUUAACAAGUCAAGCCUCCCACUUCUAUAG